RNAcentral lists this ribosomal RNA (498 nucleotides) under uncultured bacterium. RNAcentral's name for it is "partial 16S ribosomal RNA". It matches the Rfam family "Bacterial small subunit ribosomal RNA", at positions 30 to 523 of the family's 1533-position model. The record is from RNAcentral.
AUUGAACGCUGGCGGCAUGCCUUACACAUGCAAGUCGAACGGUAACAGGUCUUCGGGUGCUGACGAGUGGCGAACGGGUGAGUAAUACAUCGGAACGUGCCUAGUAGUGGGGGAUAACUACUCGAAAGAGUGGCUAAUACCGCAUGAGAUCUACGGAUGAAAGCAGGGGAUCGCAAGACCUUGUGCUACUAGAGCGGCCGAUGGCAGAUUAGGUAGUUGGUGGGAUAAAGGCUUACCAAGCCGACGAUCUGUAGCUGGUCUGAGAGGACGAUCAGCCACACUGGGACUGAGAAACGGCCCAGACUCCUACGGGAGGCAGCAGUGGGGAAUUCUGGACAAUGGGCGCAAGCCUGAUCCAGCAAUGCCGCGUGCAGGAUGAAGGCCUUCGGGUUGUAAACUGCUUUUGUACGGAACGAAAAGCCCCGGGUUAAUACCCUGGGGUCAUGACGGUACCGUAAGAGUAAGCACCGGCUAACUACGCGCCAGCCGCCGCCGUAA